GACGAACGCUGGCGGCGUGCCUAAUACAUGCAAGUCGAACGCAGUGGGGACGGGUGAGUAACACGUGGGUAACCUCCCAUCAGAGGGGAUAACACUUGGAAACAGGUGCUAAACCGAUACUGAUGGAUGAACCCGCGGUGCAUUAGCGAGUUGGUGAGGAAACGGCUCACCAAGGCCACGAUGCAUAGCCGUCCUGGGGGGGUGAUCGGCGAAACGGGAAUGGGGAACGGGCCCAGAUCCUUAGGGGGGGCAGCAGGGGGGAAUCUGCGGCAAUGGACGAAAGUCUGACCGAGCAACGCCGGGUGAGGGAAGAAGGUUUUGGGAUGGUAAAUCUCUGUUGUUAGAGAAGCGUUAUCUAACCAGAAAGCCACGGCUAACUACGUGCCAGCAGCGGGGGUAAUU
RNAcentral lists this ribosomal RNA (402 nucleotides) under uncultured bacterium. Its description in RNAcentral is "partial 16S ribosomal RNA". It matches the Rfam family "Bacterial small subunit ribosomal RNA", at positions 28 to 525 of the family's 1533-position model. The record is from RNAcentral.